UGUGUUGCUUACCUGUCGAAGGAAUGCUAUCGUUUCGCUGCCCCCGUCCGCCCGAUGCCCUUCGGGGGUACCGGGUGGACAUCGAGUAGGCUCUGCGUUCCUGGCACCCCCCGCACGCGUUGCGCGGGUUGCCUUGGCCCGCGGAGUCGUUGCCCGUUCUCUCGGAUGCGGAAUGCCUACGUGCGGGCGCGGGGCUUCGGCCGCGCGUGCCCGAGCUACGCAUUCGUCCCUUGACGCGAACGACUGUCGCGCUCGCCUUGACCCCGUGCGUCGGCCGGCCCGCGCACGGGGCUCAUGCGGGCGUCGACGUCGCGAGGAAUGCUACCUGGUUGAUCCUGCCAGUAGUC
RNAcentral lists this unclassified non-coding RNA (347 nucleotides) under Buchanania reticulata. RNAcentral describes it as "partial external transcribed spacer". The record is from RNAcentral. Lineage: Eukaryota; Viridiplantae; Streptophyta; Magnoliopsida; Sapindales; Anacardiaceae.